AGAGUUUGAUCAUGGCUCAGAGCGAACGCUGGCGGCGUGCCUAACACAUGCAAGUCGAACGUGAAAGGGAGCAAUCCUGAGUAAAGUGGCGUACGGGUGAGUAACGCGUAGGUAAUCUAACCUAAAGCCUGGAAUAACCGGCCGAAAGGCUGGCUAAUACUGGAUAGAGCGAGGAAUUCGUAAAUGGAUUUUUCGGGAAA
This 200-nucleotide ribosomal RNA is filed under the name uncultured bacterium. RNAcentral's name for it is "partial 16S ribosomal RNA". It matches the Rfam family "Bacterial small subunit ribosomal RNA", at positions 8 to 205 of the family's 1533-position model. The record is from RNAcentral.